Molecule: ribosomal RNA, 377 nt
Filed under: uncultured bacterium
Lineage: Bacteria
Description: bacterial SSU rRNA
Rfam family: Bacterial small subunit ribosomal RNA
Source: RNAcentral
AUUGAACGCUGGCGGCAUGCCUAACACAUGCAAGUCGAACGGUAACAGGCCCUUCGGGGUGCUGACGAGUGGCGGAUGGGUGAGUAAUACUUAGGAAUCUACCCUGUAGUGGGGGACGAACCCGGGGAAACUCGGGCUAAUACCGCAUACGCUCUACGGAGGAAAGCGGGGGACCGCAAGGCCUCGCGCUAUUGGAUGAGCCUAAGCCCGAUUAGCUAGUUGGUGGGGUAAUGGCCACCAAGGCAAUGAUCGGUAGCUGGUCUGAGAGGACGACCAGCCACACUGGGACUGAGACACGGCCCAGACUCCUACGGGAGGCAGCAGGUGGGGAAUAUUGGACAAUGGGCGAAAGCCUGAUCCAGCGAUGCCGCGUGUGU